Molecule: ribosomal RNA, 440 nt
Filed under: uncultured bacterium
Lineage: Bacteria
Description: partial 16S ribosomal RNA
Rfam family: Bacterial small subunit ribosomal RNA
Source: RNAcentral
CCUACGGGAGGCAGCAGUGGGGAAUAUUGCACAAUGGGGGGAACCCUGAUGCAGCGAUGCCGCGUGGAGGAAGAAGGUUUUCGGAUUGUAAACUCCUUUUAUCAGGGACGAUAAUGACGGUACCUGAAGAAAAAGCUCCGGCUAACUACGUGCCAGCAGCCGCGGUAAUACGUGGGGAGCGAGCGUUUUCCGGAAUUACUGGGUGUAAAGGGAGCGUAGGCGGGACGGCAAGUCAGAUGUGAAACCCGAGGGCCCAACCUGCGGACUGCAGUUGAAACUGCUGUUCUUGAGUGAAGGAGAGGUAAGCGGAAUUCCUAGUGUAGCGGUGAAAUGCGUAGAUAUUAGGAGGAACAUCGGUGGCGAAGGCGGCUUACUGGGCUUUUACUGACGCUGAGGCUCGAAGGCGUGGGGAGCAAACAGGAUUAGAUACCCGUGUAGUC